This 384-nucleotide ribosomal RNA is filed under the name uncultured prokaryote. RNAcentral describes it as "bacterial SSU rRNA". It matches the Rfam family "Archaeal small subunit ribosomal RNA", at positions 341 to 725 of the family's 1478-position model. The record is from RNAcentral.
GCGAAAACUUUACAAUGCUGGCAACAGCGAUAAGGGAACCUCGAGUGCCAGGUUACAAAUCUGGCUGUCGAGAUGCCUAAAAAGCAUUCCAUAGCAAGGGCCGGGCAAGACCGGUGCCAGCCGCCGCGGUAACACCGGCGGCUCGAGUGGUAACCGUUAUUAUUGGGUCUAAAGGGUCUGUAGCCGGCCGGAUAAGUCUCUUGAGAAAUCUGGCAGCUUAACUGUCAGGCUUUCAGGAGAUACUGUCUGGCUCGAGGCCGGGAGAGGUGAGAGGUACUUCAGGGGUAGGCGUGAAAUCUUGUAAUCCUUGAAGGACGACCAGUGGAGAAGGCGUCUCACCAGAACGGACCUGACGGCAAGGGAGGAAAGCUAGGGGCACGAACC